UGGAACUCUUUUAUGGAAGAGUUGGAGGAA
This 30-nucleotide non-coding RNA is filed under the name Mus musculus (house mouse). The record is from RNAcentral. Lineage: Eukaryota; Metazoa; Chordata; Mammalia; Rodentia; Muridae.